GGGCUAUGGCUUAGUGGCAGAGCAUCUGCUUUGCGUGCAAAAAGUCCUAGGUUCAAUCCUGGGCAUCUCCA
Non-coding RNA from Podarcis lilfordi (Lilford's wall lizard), 71 nucleotides. The record is from the annotation of a GenBank genome assembly. Lineage: Eukaryota; Metazoa; Chordata; Lepidosauria; Squamata; Lacertidae.